RNAcentral lists this long non-coding RNA (4574 nucleotides) under Canis lupus familiaris (dog). Its description in RNAcentral is "lncRNA (ENSCAFG00030016088.1)". Lineage: Eukaryota; Metazoa; Chordata; Mammalia; Carnivora; Canidae. The record is from RNAcentral.
GCCACCUCCAAGAGAGCCUUCAGCUCACCCCCACAUAAUGGAUGGAGAAACUGAGGCCCAGAGGGGGAAGGAUCAGAGGCUGAGGCCAGUCGGUUCCCAAUGAAGGGCCCUGCAGGCUGCUGCCUCUGUGGCCAGCAGCCAGCUGAGGUGGGGAGGAUGAAAGCUCCUCUGCCUGGGGUGAUGGGGCCCUGGCCACCCCAUGGAUCUAGUAAGGAGCCCCUUCAGGCAGAAGCAGUUCACCAGGGACGGGUGAGGUUAUGGGGGGGAGGUCGUACAAAGCCAUGAUGAAGCUAUCUUCCUGUAUCACGUUCACACUUCUCAAGCACGGGAAACUAUGCAGAGUGGUGGGGAUGGACUUAAUUCUGCCCCAGAAAGGACGGAGUCCAUUCUUUUGAGAUUCCUGCACUGGAGUCUUCUUAGCGCCCCCACCCCCACCCCCACGCCAACUCCCCUCACAGAAUCCUGAUGGGUCUCCUUGGCAGCUUCGGCCUUGUUUCGGCCCAGGUGGUCCAGGACCAGAGCAGCAGUGCCUGGGGGCUUGCUGUCAAUGCAGAACCCCAGGCCCUGCUCUGGACCAGCUGGGGCAGACCUCCGAGUGAUUCUUACGUCCAUCAGGGGUUUGGAAGCACUGGCCUCUGGAACCACUCACCUGGCAGUGACUCACCUGGCAGUGACACUUGCGGGUAAUUGCACAUGAACACUAUUAUUAGCUGCAGAGAGGGUUGGGGGCCUGGGAAAGGAAGGAGGGAUCCCGAGGAUGGCUAAUCCAUGUGAAAAGUAGAAAGUGCUACCCAGCGUUUUGGAGAAAUGAAAUUCGUAGGAUGAUUAAAUCUGGGAAAAUAUGGGGUAAGAGAUUUUGUCCUGCCUCCUUCUAAGGCUGGGAGCUCCUCUGCAGUCUCUCAGCAACUGCUCUCCAGGCCCAGCCCGGGCUCCUAGCCUGACGGGGAGCUCACCACCUCUCAGGCCGGCACAGGGGGACAGCUCUGGCCCUGGUAAGGCCUCCUCCCUGCCAGGGAGCAGAGCCACUUCUGUGGUCCUGGCCGGCCUGCUUUCUGGCCCUGGUCCCCUUGGGGCUGCUGGUAACCAGCCCUGUCCCUCCUUUGAUCUUCGACACCCCACCUCUCUGCUCUUUCUCUAGUUGCAGAAAUAGUCUAUUUGUGUGUGGAGAGUCUCUUUUCCCUGAGCCUGGAGGUGUUGAAGAGGCCUCUACAGAGGCAGAACUGGUGCUGCAAGGAUUCACCGCAUUGGCCUCAUUCCUCCCUCCUCUGGGUCACCAGCAGAGUGGGGACCAGGCCGGCUCGGUGCAGUCGGAGGCAGGGGGUGUGGCACCUCCCUGGGUCUAUGGAAGCGGCAGACACAGGUGCACAUGGAAGGCAGAGGCGCUCAGGACGGUGGUCAGGUUGCACAACAUCACCCUUUGCUGUGAUGGGCACCCAGGGGUAGAGACAGCAGAUGUGCGCUGUCCGGGUGCCCAGCCCUCGCUCUCCGUGGGGCUCCAGGGUCAUUUGCCAAACUCAGACUGGCGCCACGGAUCGGAGAAAACAGAGUCCCACAAGCCCCCAGGACCUCCUCCUGCUGAGGAAGACGGCACAGACCCUCCCAGCCUGCUUCCUCCCCUCCGACCCUUCCACAGGACCCUCAUCCUAGUCCACAGGGACUUCUGUGGUCCUGCUCUGGGCCCCUGACCACUGGACUUCCCAAGAGAGGCUUUCUCUGGAGGCAGCCUGCAUGUCCCAGGGGCAGUGAACCCCCGAGGUCCCUGGGUCCCCAGGCAAAGCUGGUGGCUGACCCUAAUGACAGCAGGCGUCAAUUUGUGAACUUGAAAGGGAACCUGCUGCCUCCUGGAUUCCGCUCCUGGGACACUGGGAUGGACCUCAAAUCACCAAGUCAACUGCCGUCCUGUCUGCACAUCUCCUUGGUAGGCUGGAGCAGCUGAGGGAAACAGGGCUGCAGACUUGGAACCACUUCACAGAUGCCAGCAGCCCUGCUCCAUCCUCACUUUAUUUCCAAGGAAGUCAGGCUCCGAGGGGUUUGGGUCAUCUGGUAAGGCCACAGAGCUGAUAAAGCCAGGACUGGCCCCGAGACCCAGACUUCUGGUCUCAUGCCCAGUGCCCUUUCUUCCCUGUGCCAAGGGCUGACUUGGUCCUGAAGCUUGUUCUAUGGGGAGAGGGAGGGGUAGCACAAGGCCCAGGGAGAGGCUGGGAAGCGUGGCUCAGGCCUGACUCUGCUGCCAACUUCUUACGGGAUUCCUGCCAGGCUCUUAUCUGGCUCAGCUGCCUCCUUCCAGCUCAGAGCACCCAGAUUUCCAGGUUGGAGCCACUUUCUUCUGACUGACAUUCUCCCCUGGGUUGAACUCCAGUCAGGCUCUUCUGAGCUCUCUUCUCAACUUGGCCUGGGUUUUGGGCUUCCAUGUUUGUCUCUGCGUUGUCCAAUGUAGCAAGAAUCCUGCUAAACCAGCCUACCCAGAACCCCCCAUCCUCAAUAUCUGAUCAUCCUCGACAUCCAAUGGAGUUCCCAACCCCAUGCCUUCCCGGGGGUGACAUGUGACCUCCCUGGCCUGGCUUCAGCAGGAAUCCUGUGAGGCUGGUGUCCCCAGAAUCCCCUGACCCCUGGAGUUUCCUCUCAGUACUUUUCCAUCCACACUCCACCCUCGCUGCUUGGCUAUAAUUCCCUCUUUUCGUCCUGUUCAGAGUGAGCCCAGUCUCCCUCCUCCACUGCAAAACCCCAUUGCUGUGGUCCCUGUAUGGCUCGGAUCGUGGCAGUUCCCUGACUAGAGUUUCCCCACCCCCUCAUUCUAUAACAAGUGUCAUGAUAACUGUUUUUGUUUUUGUUUUUAGAUUUUAUUUAUUUAUUUAUUCAUGAGAGACACAGAGUGAGAGGCAGAGACAUAGGCAGAGGGACAAGCAGACUCCCUGUGGAGAGCCUGAUGUGGGAUUCGAUCCCAGGACCCCUGGGUCACGACUUGAGCUGAAGGCAGACGCUCAACCACUGAGCCACCCAGGCGUCCCAUGAUAACUGGUUUUUGAAGACUUCUGUUCCUAUCAGAAUCCCCUCUUGCUGGUGUAGCCCUAAGGCUCUGAAACGACUUCCUCACAUCCUCCUCCCGCUAUGCCUGUGAUUUGGAACUCUAGGUUCCUUACAAGGAGGGACAGCAGGGGAUCCCUGGGUGGCGCAGCGGUCUGGCGCCUGCCUUUGGCCCAGGGCGCGAUCCUGGAGACCCGGGAUCGGAUCCCACGUCGGGCUCCCGGUGCAUGGAGCCUGCUUCUCCUCUGCCUGUGUCUCUGCCUCAUUCUCUCUCUCUCUGUGACUAUCACAAAUAAAUAAAAAUUUUAAAAAAAUUUUUACAAGGAGGGACAGCAUGAUGUUCGUGAAAACACCAAGGACGCUUUUUUACUUUAACCAACUGGAAACUCUCAGCGUGAGGGAGGGGAAAUUUGGGAGCCCAGACACUUGAGAGAGGGAAGACCUUAUCUCAGGUGCUGCAAGCCCAGGUCCCCAGGCUUCUGCUGGCUCUGGGUCCUGAGGAGGGAAGGCCAGCGGAUCCAUGAUCUUGUCUGGCUUUCCCCUACCCCUUCCCUCCCACAGAAAAACCUUCUCUUCAACCUUGAGACUGCCACCCCCACCCACAGUGCCUUGGGUCUCUCUAGGAGGUGUGUUUUAUACCUUGUUCUUUCAAGGGGGACCCCAAAGCACCUGACUCCUUUAUUUUAAUCCUGAAACCCACAUCAUUGGGCAGAUUGUGAGUUGCCUUUCAUAGACUGAAAAAAAAUCUAAGAAUCAGAGGUUCCCCAGAAAGGACUAGCUAGGGUAGACCAGCAGUUGGAAAGGAGUGCUUCUGGAGGCUUAACCAAAUCUACAACUCCCUGCAGUUCACUCGAUAAGGAGCUCUUGGGUUUCCCCUUCCUGUCCAGAUAUUGGCUUAAAUUUGUUUUCCUUUUUCUGGUCUGCAAGUUACAAAACCAAGAAAUUUUGUCAUAAAAAUAACAAUGACCAAAGCCAGGCUCCAGAGAGCCUCCAGUCAGAGCCAGUAACCUCAGGCUGCUCAGGCACCCAGCACUCUCACCCCGACUGCAGCCAGGAGAGCUGAGGGCUUUGCUGCACCAGUCCAAGUCGGGGAGCGAGCAGCAAGACCAGUAUCAGAAACCAAAACAUGCCCGGCACUCAACACGGUUUUGAAUGCCAUGGAGAAUGCCAAGCCAGGUCUUUGCUGUGUGUGCUGCCCUCAAAAAUCCAGACAAAUGUCCUGUUCACAGCAGGGAAAACAAUUGCACUGAUUAAUUGUGCUUCUGUGGAUGUCUCCAUUCUCCAGACUUCUGAGUGCAUUCCAGUGAGGCCGUCUGCCAGAUGGAAGUGUUGUCACACACAGUUUCUUGGUGCAAACUGCAAGGCUCGUGAGCCUCAAGCAAGCCUGUUAGAAUUCCUUUUACUAAAUGGCCAUAAUCAAAGAACAAGCUCUUAGUUAUCUAGCAAUGAGCUUUAGAAAUCGAUGAGUACGCAAAAUCGCAAUUUAUGAGUUCAGCAAUUUUUCUUUUGCUGCUAAAAAUAUUAGCCCGUGAAAAUCUUACAGUGUCUGG